UUGCCUUCAGCAGCCAGCAGCAGCCAGCAACAGCAUCAUCAGCCAUCAUCAUCGACUGUUCACAGUUGUCGUUUGGCUUUCAUUGCCGCCGGGAGGAGCGUGUAUUUGGACGAAAACUCUAAAAAUUCGCGGCGAAUAAAGUAAUUUGGAAACCUCCAACAUUUCUAAAAACGAACGAUAUGUUUAGUAUUUCGACCUAUUGGCUCUUCUGAUAGUAUACUGAAAUUAUGGCGCUUUUAAUACAUCGAUUUUAUAAUUAAUGAAAAACCAAUACUGGAACAUAAAUAUUUAAAAUAUGUU
Long non-coding RNA from Musca domestica (house fly), 300 nucleotides. RefSeq lists it as uncharacterized. The transcript has 2 exons. Lineage: Eukaryota; Metazoa; Arthropoda; Insecta; Diptera; Muscidae. The record is from RefSeq and is a predicted model, not a curated record.